UGGGGAAUAUUGCACAAUGGGCGAAAGCCUGAUGCAGCAACGCCGCGUGAGCGAUGAAGGCCUUUGGGUCGUAAAGCUCUGUCCUUGGGGAAGAAAAAAAUGACGGUACCCUUGGAGGAAGCCCCGGCUAACUACGUGCCAGCAGCCGCGGUAAUACGUAGGGGGCAAGCGUUAUCCGGAAUUAUUGGGCGUAAAGAGUGCGUAGGUGGUUUUGUAAGCGCGGGGUGAGAGGCAAUGGCUCAACUAUUGUAAGCCCUGCGAACUGUGAGACUUGAGUGCAGGAGAGGAAAGCGGAAUUCCUAGUGUAGCGGUGAAAUGCGUAGAUAUUAGGAGGAACACCAGUGGCGAAGGCGGCUUUCUGAACUGUAACUGACACUGAGGCACGAAAGCGUGGGGAGCAAACA
This 404-nucleotide ribosomal RNA is filed under the name uncultured bacterium. RNAcentral's name for it is "bacterial SSU rRNA". It matches the Rfam family "Bacterial small subunit ribosomal RNA", at positions 355 to 774 of the family's 1533-position model. The record is from RNAcentral.